Molecule: ribosomal RNA, 1333 nt
Filed under: Cyanobium sp. AH25
Lineage: Bacteria; Bacillati; Cyanobacteriota; Cyanophyceae; Synechococcales; Prochlorococcaceae
Description: bacterial SSU rRNA
Rfam family: Bacterial small subunit ribosomal RNA
Source: RNAcentral
AUGAACGCUGGCGGCGUGCUUAACACAUGCAAGUCGAACGAGCGAGUGGCGGACGGGUGAGUAACGCGUGGGAAUCUGCCCUCAGGAGGGGAUAACGGCCGGAAACGGCCGCUAAUACCCCAUAUGCCGGAGGUGAAAGAAUUUGCCUGAGGAUGAGCCCGCGUCUGAUUAGCUAGUUGGUGGGGUAAUCCACCAAGGCGACGAUCAGUAGCUGGUCUGAGAGGAUGAUCAGCCACACUGGGACUGAGACACGGCCCAGACUCCUACGGGAGGCAGCAGUGGGGAAUUUUCCGCAAUGGGCGAAAGCCUGACGGAGCAAGCCGCGUGAGGGAUGAAGGCCUCUGGGCUGUAAACCUCUUUUCUCAAGGAAGUGACGGUACUUGAGGAAUAAGCCACGGCUAAUUCCGUGCCAGCAGCCGCGGUAAUACGGGAGAUGCAAGCGUUAUCCGGAAUUAUUGGGCGUAAAGCGUCCGCAGGCGGCCUGUAAGUCUGUCGUUAAAGCGAGCUUAACUCAUUUCAGCGAUGGAAACUAGGCUUGAGUUGGUAGGGGCAGAGGGAAUUCCCGGUGUAGCGGUGAAAUGCGUAGAUAUCGGGAAGAACACCAGUGGCGAAGGCGCUCUGCUGGGCCAAACUGACGCUCAUGGACGAAAGCCAGGGGAGCGAAAGGGAUUAGAUACCCCUGUAGUCCUGGCCGUAAACGAUGAACACUAGGUGUCGGGGGAAUCGACCCCCUCGGUGUCGUAGCUAACGCGUUAAGUGUUCCGCCUGGGGAGUACGCACGCAAGUGUGAAACUCAAAGGAAUUGACGGGGGCCCGCACAAGCGGUGGAGUAUGUGGUUUAAUUCGAUGCAACGCGAAGAACCUUACCAGGGUUUGACAUCCUGCGAAUCCCCUGGAAACGGGGGAGUGCCUUCGGGAGCGCAGAGACAGGUGGUGCAUGGCUGUCGUCAGCUCGUGUCGUGAGAUGUUGGGUUAAGUCCCGCAACGAGCGCAACCCACGUCUUUAGUUGCCAGCAUUCAGUUGGGCACUCUAGAGAGACCGCCGGUGAUAAACCGGAGGAAGGUGUGGAUGACGUCAAGUCAUCAUGCCCCUUACAUCCUGGGCUACACACGUACUACAAUGCUACGGACAAAGGGUUGCAAGCUCGCGAGAGUUAGCUAAUCCCAUAAACCGUGGCUCAGUUCAGAUCGUAGGCUGCAACUCGCCUACGUGAAGGAGGAAUCGCUAGUAAUCGCAGGUCAGCAUACUGCGGUGAAUACGUUCCCGGGCCUUGUACACACCGCCCGUCACACCAUGGAAGUUGGCCAUGCCCGAAGUCGUUACUCCAACCCU